AAAAAUUGUAGAAGUUUCUCAACUUUUUAUUUUGUUUUCCAACAAAGUUAAUUGCGGCUCUUUAGUUUUCCCCAAAACUGAAGAUAGAUUUUCUCCCUCAUUGUUUCACCUAGAUUAUGGUUCUUGAGGCCUGGUUUGAGCUCAAUGAAGAGACUUCAAUAAUCAUUAGUUUGACAGGCUGAUUCUUGGAGAAGUAAGAUAUUCUUAGAAAGAAGCUCAAUCUUGUUGGUUUAAUUUCAAUGCUAUUAGGAUUAAAGUAUAUAUGAGGAAGUAUAUACUCCACUGGUGGAGGAAAGAUCGGGCGUUUAUUUUGGAUAAUUAUUUACAAUGGGAGGAUAUUUUCGAAAUGAUAAAUUUAUGUUCUCAUAAUAGUUUCAAAUAGUAUAUUUUGCUAUACGUUUAGCAUAUAACUAAAGACAUUCUUAUUACAUAUAAAGCAAGAAUGACUAAGUCUCAAGACAUGACUAGAGUUUCUUAUAUCAGUUCCAGCUGCAUUUUUUUUAUGCAAA
Long non-coding RNA from Solanum lycopersicum (tomato), 509 nucleotides. RefSeq lists it as uncharacterized. The record is from RefSeq and is a predicted model, not a curated record. Lineage: Eukaryota; Viridiplantae; Streptophyta; Magnoliopsida; Solanales; Solanaceae.